GCAUAUCAAUAAGCGGAGGAAAAGAAACCAACAGGGAUUGCCCCAGUAACGGCGAGUGAAGCGGCAACAGCUCAAAUUUGAAAUCUGGCCCCCCAGGGCCCGAGUUGUAAUUUGCAGAGGAUGCUUUUGGCGCGGCGCCUUCCGAGUUCCCUGGAACGGGACGCCAUAGAGGGUGAGAGCCCCGUCUGGUCGGACGCCAAGCCAGUGUAAAGCUCCUUCGACGAGUCGAGUAGUUUGGGAAUGCUGCUCUAAAUGGGAGGUAUAUGUCUUCUAAAGCUAAAUAUAGGCCAGAGACCGAUAGCGCACAAGUAGAGUGAUCGAAAGAUGAAAAGCACUUUGAAAAGAGGGUUAAACAGUACGUGAAAUUGUUGAAAGGGAAGCACUUGUGACCAGACUUGGGCCCGGUGAAUCAUCCAGCGUUCUCGCUGGUGCACUUCGCCGGGCUCAGGCCAGCAUCAGUUCGCCGCGGGGGACAAAAGCUUCGGGAACGUGGCUCCCUCGGGAGUGUUAUAGCCCGUUGCACAAUACCCUGCGGUGGACUGAGGUUCGCGCUCCGCAAGGAUGCUGGCGUAAUGGUCACCAGUGACCCGUCUUGAAACACGGACCAAGGAGUCGUCUUCGUAUGCGAGUGUUCGGGUGUCAAACCCCUACGCGUAAUGAAAGUGAACGCAGGUGAGAGCUUCGGCGCAUCAUCGACCGAUCCUGAUGUUCUCGGAUGGAUUUGAGUAAGAGCAUACGGGGCCGGACCCGAAAGAAGGUGAACUAUGCCUGUAUAGGGUGAAGCCAGAGGAAACUCUGGUGGAGGCUCGCAGCGGUUCUGACGUGCAAAUCGAUCGUCAAAUAUGGGCAUGGGGGGCGAAAGACUAAUCGAACCUUCUAGUAGCUGGUUUCCGCCGAAG
This 899-nucleotide ribosomal RNA is filed under the name Tolypocladium nubicola. RNAcentral describes it as "LSU rRNA". It matches the Rfam family "Eukaryotic large subunit ribosomal RNA", at positions 38 to 966 of the family's 3401-position model. The record is from RNAcentral. Lineage: Eukaryota; Fungi; Ascomycota; Sordariomycetes; Hypocreales; Ophiocordycipitaceae.